AUACGGAGGGUGCAAGCGUUACUCGGAAUCACUGGGCGUAAAGCGCGCGCAGGCGGCUAUUUAAGUUGGAUGUGAGAGCCUACGGCUCAACCGUAGAACUGCAUCCAAAACUAUUUAGCUAGAGUGUGGGAGAGGAAGAUGGAAUUAGUUGUGUAGGAGUAAAAUCCGUAGAGAUAACUAGGAAUACCAAAAGCGAAGGCAAUCUUCUGGAACACUACUGACGCUGAGGCGCGAAAGCGUGGGGAGCAAACAAGAUUAGAAACCCAGUAGUCC
Molecule: ribosomal RNA, 273 nt
Filed under: uncultured bacterium
Lineage: Bacteria
Description: partial 16S ribosomal RNA
Rfam family: Bacterial small subunit ribosomal RNA
Source: RNAcentral